This 497-nucleotide ribosomal RNA is filed under the name uncultured bacterium. RNAcentral's name for it is "partial 16S ribosomal RNA". It matches the Rfam family "Bacterial small subunit ribosomal RNA", at positions 28 to 507 of the family's 1533-position model. The record is from RNAcentral.
GAUGAACGCUGGCGGCGUGCCUAAUACAUGCCAGUCGAGCGAACAGACGAGGAGCUUGCUCCUCUGACGUUAGCGGCGGACGGGUGAGUAACACGUGGAUAACCUACCUAUAAGACUGGGAUAACUUCGGGAAACGGGAUCUAAUACCGGAUAAUAUAUUGAACCGCAUGGUUCAAUAGUGAAAGACGGUUUUGCUGUCACUUAUAGAUGGAUCCGCGCCGCAUUAGCUAGUUGGUAAGGUAACGGCUUACCAAGGCAACGAUGCGUAGCCGACCUGAGAGGGUGAUCGGCCACACUGGAACUGAGCCACGGUCCAGACUCCUACGGGAGGCAGCAGUAGGGAAUCUUCCGCAAUGGGCGAAAGCUUGACGGAGCAACGCCGCGUGAGUGAUGAAGGUCUUCGGAUCGUAAAACUCUGUUAUUAGGGAAGAACAAAUGUGUAAGUAACUAUGCACGUCUUGACGGUACCUAAUCAGAAAGCCACGGCUAACUACGUG